CAGCAGCCGCGGUAAUACGUAGGCGGCAAGCGUUGUCCGGAAUUAUUGGGCGUAAAGGGCUCGCAGGCGGUUUCUUAAGUCUGAUGUGAAAGCCCCUGGCUCAACCGGGGGGGGUCAUUGGAAACUGGGAAACUUGAGUGCAGAAGAGGAGAGUGGAAUUCCACGUGUAGCGGUGAAAUGCGUAGAGAUGUGGAGGAACACCAGUGGCGAAGGCGACUCUCUGGUCUGUAACUGACGCUGAGGAGCGAAAGCGUGGGGAGCGAACAGGAUUAGAUACCCCAGUAGUCCCUGUCUCUUAUAC
Molecule: ribosomal RNA, 301 nt
Filed under: uncultured bacterium
Lineage: Bacteria
Description: partial 16S ribosomal RNA
Rfam family: Bacterial small subunit ribosomal RNA
Source: RNAcentral